UACGGAGGGUGCAAGCGUUGUCCGGAAUCACUGGGCGUAAAGGGCGCGUAGGCGGCCUGGUAAGUAGGGGGUGAAAUCCUGCGGCUUAACCGCAGGGCUGCCUUCUAAACUGUCAGGCUUGAGCACGGUAGAGGCAGAUGGAAUUCCCGGUGUAGCGGUGGAAUGCGUAGAGAUCGGGAAGACAUCAGUGGCGAAGGCGGUCUGCUGGGCCGUUGCUGACGCUGAGGCGCGACAGCGUGGGGAGCAACAGG
This 251-nucleotide ribosomal RNA is filed under the name uncultured bacterium. RNAcentral's name for it is "partial 16S ribosomal RNA". It matches the Rfam family "Bacterial small subunit ribosomal RNA", at positions 524 to 775 of the family's 1533-position model. The record is from RNAcentral.